This 231-nucleotide ribosomal RNA is filed under the name Salmonella enterica subsp. enterica serovar Senftenberg. RNAcentral describes it as "partial 23S ribosomal RNA". It matches the Rfam family "Bacterial large subunit ribosomal RNA", at positions 12 to 242 of the family's 2925-position model. The record is from RNAcentral. Lineage: Bacteria; Pseudomonadati; Pseudomonadota; Gammaproteobacteria; Enterobacterales; Enterobacteriaceae.
CUAAGCGUACACGGUGGAUGCCCUGGCAGUCAGAGGCGAUGAAGGACGUGCUAAUCUGCGAUAAGCGCCGGUAAGGUGAUAUGAACCGUUAUAACGGGCGAUUGCAGAAUGGGGAAACCCAGGGUGAUUCGUGACACUAUCAUUCACGGAAGACAUAGGUCAACGAGGCGAACCGGGGGAACUGAAACAUCUAAGUACCCCGAGGAAAAGAAAUCAACCGAGAUUCCCCCA